Long non-coding RNA from Peromyscus eremicus (cactus mouse), 1207 nucleotides. RefSeq lists it as uncharacterized. The record is from RefSeq and is a predicted model, not a curated record. Lineage: Eukaryota; Metazoa; Chordata; Mammalia; Rodentia; Cricetidae. The transcript is spliced from 2 exons.
AGAAGGCCAAGAGGAAAAGCCAGGGAGAGGUUGGGGGAGGCAGCACUGAGAACACAGGUGCAUCACGGGUAGCACUUUAGCCACAAAUGAACAUAAUGUAUCUUCCUUGGCUAAUUUCAAGUCAUUCUUCAACCCUCAGCUAAACGGCCUUUCUUGGGGUGUUCUUCAGUGGCCUUCUGGAUUAAGGUAGAUUCCCAUUAACUACUUGUUUUAUAAUAUCUGACAAUCAAUGCUGUUUAUGGAAGCCUUCCUCUGAAUCCGGCACCGCUCCAGGAAAUAUCCCCAUAAUCUCUGACUUCUGAGCCUCCAGCCCCUGCUCUUGGCAACUACAACCUACAUAGCUACAUAGAGAACGAAAGCUGGAGAGUGAUGAUGAGUCAAGCCUUUGAGACCCCCAGUAGAGCUGAUGGCUGGACCCAGCUACCCUCUGCAUCUUCCCAAGUGAUGCUUCUGCCACACUCAACUGUCUGCAGUUCAGCCUCUGCCACACUCAAGUGUCUGUGGUUCAGCCUCUGCCACACUCAAGUGUCUGCGGUUCAGCCUCUGCCACACUCAAGUGUCUGUGGUUCAGCCUCUGCCACAUUCAACUGUCUGCGGUUCAGCCUCUGCCACACUCAAGUGUCUGCGGUUCAGCCUCUGCCACACUCAAGUGUCUGCGGUUCAGCCUCUGCCACACUCAAGUGUCUGCGGUUCAGCCUCUGCCACACUCAACUGUCUGCGGUUCAGCCUCUGCCACACUCAAGUGUCUGCGGUUCAGCCUCUGCCACACUCAAGUGUCUGCGGUUCAGCCUCUGCCACACUCAACUGUCUGCGGUUCAGCCUCUGCCACACUCAAGUGUCUGCGGUUCAGCCUCUGCCACACUCAACUGUCUGCAGUUCAGCCUCUGCCACACUCAAGUGUCUGUGGUUCAGCCUCUGCCACACUCAAGUGUCUGCGGUUCAGCCUCUGCCACACUCAAGUGUCUGCAGUUCAGCCUCUGCCACACUCAACUGUCUGCAGUUCAGCCUCUGCCACACUCAACUGUCUGCAGUUCAGCCUCUGCCACACACAACUGUGUGCAGUUCUCCACAUCUGGACUACUUUUUUAUGCCCAACAUUGAUGCCUACUAUGCCUCCUACUGGCUCCUAGGUGUGAACCUCUUAUUUGCUGAUGAAAAGAAUGAACAAAUUCAUUCCUUACAAAACCAAAUGAAAAGAAACAACACA